UAGUAGUAAUAUUUUUAAUAAAACUAAUUUAUUUUGGCGGCAUUUCAUCUAGUUAGAGGAAUCUGUUUUAUAAUUGAUAAUCCACAUUCAAUUUCACUUAAAUUAAAAAUCUACAUACCGCCGUCUAAAGAACUUAUUUAAUAAAUUUUAUUCAAAAUACACUUUAAAAAGUUAGGUCAAGGUGUAAUCUACAUUUAAGAUAGAAAUGGAUUACUUUUAAUACUAUUUAUAAAUUAUAUUACUAAAAAAAUAUAUGAAUUAGGAUUUAUUAGUAAAUUUUCAAUACAAUUUUAAUUUGAAUAAGAUAAUAAAUGUGU
This 317-nucleotide ribosomal RNA is filed under the name Goeldia sp. CG59. Its description in RNAcentral is "partial 12S ribosomal RNA". The record is from RNAcentral. Lineage: Eukaryota; Metazoa; Arthropoda; Arachnida; Araneae; Titanoecidae.